RNAcentral lists this ribosomal RNA (186 nucleotides) under uncultured Staphylococcus sp. RNAcentral's name for it is "partial 16S ribosomal RNA". It matches the Rfam family "Bacterial small subunit ribosomal RNA", at positions 153 to 334 of the family's 1533-position model. Lineage: Bacteria; Bacillati; Bacillota; Bacilli; Caryophanales; Staphylococcaceae. The record is from RNAcentral.
GAAACCGGAGCUAAUACCGGAUAAUAUUUUGAACCGCAUGGUUCAAAAGUGAAAGACGGUCUUGCUGUCACUUAUAGAUGGAUCCGCGCUGCAUUAGCUAGUUGGUAAGGUAACGGCUUACCAAGGCAACGAUGCAUAGCCGACCUGAGAGGGUGAUGGCCACACUGGAACUGAGACACGGUCCAG